RNAcentral lists this ribosomal RNA (409 nucleotides) under Staphylococcus epidermidis. RNAcentral's name for it is "bacterial SSU rRNA". It matches the Rfam family "Bacterial small subunit ribosomal RNA", at positions 990 to 1395 of the family's 1533-position model. Lineage: Bacteria; Bacillati; Bacillota; Bacilli; Caryophanales; Staphylococcaceae. The record is from RNAcentral.
AUUGAGUCCCGAUCUAUAGGUAGAGUUUUCCCCUUCGGGGGACAGAGUGACAGGUGGUGCAUGGUUGUCGUCAGCUCGUGUCGUGAGAUGUUGGGUUAAGUCCCGCAACGAGCGCAACCCUUAAGCUUAGUUGCCAUCAUUAAGUUGGGCACUCUAAGUUGACUGCCGGUGACAAACCGGAGGAAGGUGGGGAUGACGUCAAAUCAUCAUGCCCCUUAUGAUUUGGGCUACACACGUGCUACAAUGGACAAUACAAAGGGCAGCGAAACCGCGAGGUCAAGCAAAUCCCAUAAAGUUGUUCUCAGUUCGGAUUGUAGUCUGCAACUCGACUAUAUGAAGCUGGAAUCGCUAGUAAUCGUAGAUCAGCAUGCUACGGUGAAUACGUUCCCGGGUCUUGUACACACCGAAA